Molecule: ribosomal RNA, 380 nt
Filed under: uncultured archaeon
Lineage: Archaea
Description: bacterial SSU rRNA
Rfam family: Archaeal small subunit ribosomal RNA
Source: RNAcentral
UAAAACCAGCUCUCCGAGUGGUGGGGACGAUUAUUGGGCCUAAAGCGUCCGUAGCCGGCCCGGCAAGUCUUCCGUUAAAUCCAGCGACCUAAUCGUUGGACUGCGGGAGAUACUGUUGGGCUAGGGGGCGAGAGAAGCCGACGGUAUCCUCGGGGUAGGGGUGAAAUCCUAUAAUCCCGGGAAGACCACCAGUGGCGAAGGCGGUCGGCUAGAACGCGCCCGACGGUGAGGGACGAAAGCUGGGGGAGCGAACCGGAUUAGACACCCGGGUAGUCCCAGCUGUAAACGAUGCGGGCUAGGUGUUGGGGCGGCUACGAGCCGCUUCAGUGCCGCACGGAAGCAAUUAAGCCCGCCGCCUGGGGAGUACGGCCGCAAGGCUG